RNAcentral lists this ribosomal RNA (252 nucleotides) under uncultured bacterium. RNAcentral describes it as "partial 16S ribosomal RNA". It matches the Rfam family "Bacterial small subunit ribosomal RNA", at positions 524 to 776 of the family's 1533-position model. The record is from RNAcentral.
UACGAAGGAUGCAAGCGUUAUCCGGACUCAUUGGGUUUAAAGGGAGCGUAGGUGGCCUUAUAAGUCAGUGGUGAAAUCUCUCGGCUUAACCGAGAAAUUGCCAUUGAUACUGUAGGGCUUGAGUAUAGUUGCCGUUGGCGGAAUAUGACAUGUAGUGGUGAAAUACAUAGAGAUGUCAUAGAACACCGAUUGCGAAGGCAGCUGACGAAACUAUAACUGACACUGAGGCUCGAAGUGCGGGGAUCAAACAGG